RNAcentral lists this ribosomal RNA (502 nucleotides) under Mycobacterium terrae. RNAcentral describes it as "Mycolicibacter terrae bacterial SSU rRNA". It matches the Rfam family "Bacterial small subunit ribosomal RNA", at positions 1 to 522 of the family's 1533-position model. Lineage: Bacteria; Bacillati; Actinomycetota; Actinomycetes; Mycobacteriales; Mycobacteriaceae. The record is from RNAcentral.
UGGAGAGUUUGAUCCUGGCUCAGGACGAACGCUGGCGGCGUGCUUAACACAUGCAAGUCGAACGGAAAGGCCCUUUCGGGGGUGCUCGAGUGGCGAACGGGUGAGUAACACGUGGGUGAUCUGCCCUGCACUUUGGGAUAAGCCUGGGAAACUGGGUCUAAUACCGAAUAGGACCAUGGGAUGCAUGUCUUGUGGUGGAAAGCUUUUGCGGUGUGGGAUGGGCCCGCGGCCUAUCAGCUUGUUGGUGGGGUGAUGGCCUACCAAGGCGACGACGGGUAGCCGGCCUGAGAGGGUGUCCGGCCACACUGGGACUGAGAUACGGCCCAGACUCCUACGGGAGGCAGCAGUGGGGAAUAUUGCACAAUGGGCGCAAGCCUGAUGCAGCGACGCCGCGUGGGGGAUGACGGCCUUCGGGUUGUAAACCCCUUUCAGUACCGACGAAGCGUGAGUGACGGUAGGUACAGAAGAAGCACCGGCCAACUACGUGCCAGCAGCCGCGGUA